GUACAUAUUGUAGUAUAGACUUAGUUUCCUUCCUUUUUAUAUUCUUUGUAAUAUUUUUUCUAUCGACGACUCCCGUGGAAAUCAACUUUUGUAGUUGUCGGGGCUAGCGUCGCUAAAUAAAGUAUGUAUGUAUAUGUAUGUAUAUAUAAGUAAUAUAUUGUAUUGUGAAAUCAUUAAUAAUUCAUGAAGAAAACACAAAAGGAAAAAGGAAUCAUGACCGUGAAAGAGUUUGUAUAUCUUAUACAAAGUCAUAUCAUUCGUUUUUUUUAUUGUUGAAGAAUACGAAUGCCCUUAUCACGUGCAAGACGUUUCACAAGCGAUCUAUAUUCGCGUCCGAUACAACACGCUGCUCAUGUUGUAAAUAGUGUAUACAUAUAAUAUAUUAUUAAUAAUAUAUAAUAUAAGUCAUAUACUGACCCGAGGGGCCGCAGACCCCGAGGGCAAAUACAUGACUUGUAUAUCCCAAGUUCGAGGUUUAUAACCGACUUCAUAGUUGAGGAGGUUUUCGAACAAGGAUUCAUCAAUUUCAAAGAAUUUCAAAGAGUUUUUAAUUUCUUUUCAAAUGGGUGAUUUUGACUAAAUUUUGAUCAAGGCAAGAAGAAUAAAUCCAACACCUGCACAGCUAGAAAGACCGUCUUAGAAUGAGUAAAACUGCAAAGAUUGCAUGGUUGCUGAAUGUUGUAAAAUGAAGAACAUAUAGACCUGUGAAGUUCGCAAAUUUUAUAUAUAUAUAUAU
Molecule: non-coding RNA, 736 nt
Organism: Paramuricea clavata
Lineage: Eukaryota; Metazoa; Cnidaria; Anthozoa; Malacalcyonacea; Plexauridae
Source: the annotation of a GenBank genome assembly